UGGCGGCAGGCCUAACACAUGCAAGUCGAGCGCUACCUUCGGGUGGAGCGGCGGACGGGUUAGUAACGCGUGGGAACGUACCCAGAUCUAAGGAAUAGCCACUGGAAACGGUGAGUAAUACCUUAUACGCCCUUCGGGGGAAAGAUUUAUCGGAUUUGGAUCGGCCCGCGUUAGAUUAGAUAGUUGGUGGGGUAAUGGCCUACCAAGUCUACGAUCUAUAGCUGGUUUUAGAGGAUGAUCAGCAACACUGGGACUGAGACACGGCCCAGACUCCUACGGGAGGCAGCAGUGGGGAAUCUUGGACAAUGGGCGCAAGCCUGAUCCAGCCAUGCCGCGUGAGUGAUGAAGGCCUUAGGGUCGUAAAGCUCUUUCGCCAGAGAUGAUAAUGACAGUAUCUGGUAAAGAAACCCCGGCUAACUCCGUGCCAGCAGCCGCGGUAAUACGGAGGGGGUUAGCGUUGUUCGGAAUUACUGGGCGUAAAGCGUACGUAGGCGGAUUAGUCAGUCAGAGGUGAAAUCCCAGGGCUCAACCCUGGAACUGCCUUUGAUACUGCUAGUCUUGAGUUCGAGAGAGGUGAGUGGAAUUCCAAGUGUAGAGGUGAAAUUCGUAGAUAUUUGGAGGAACACCAGUGGCGAAGGCGGCUCACUGGCUCGAUACUGACGCUGAGGUACGAAAGUGUGGGGAGCAAACAGGAUUAGAUACCCUGGUAGUCCACACCGUAAACGAUGAAUGCCAGUCGUCGGGCAGUAUACUGUUCGGUGACACACCUAACGGAUUAAGCAUCCG
This 786-nucleotide ribosomal RNA is filed under the name uncultured Lentibacter sp. Its description in RNAcentral is "bacterial SSU rRNA". It matches the Rfam family "Bacterial small subunit ribosomal RNA", at positions 37 to 871 of the family's 1533-position model. The record is from RNAcentral. Lineage: Bacteria; Pseudomonadati; Pseudomonadota; Alphaproteobacteria; Rhodobacterales; Roseobacteraceae.